UACAGAGGUCUCAAGCGUUGUUCGGAUUUAUUGGGCGUAAAGAGCUCGUAGGCGGCUUGUCGCGUCGACUGUGAAAACCCGCGGCUCAACUGCGGGCCUGCAGUCGAUACGGGCAGGCUAGAGUUCGGUAGGGGAGACUGGAAUUCCUGGUGUAGCGGUGAAAUGCGCAGAUAUCAGGAGGAACACCGGUGGCGAAGGCGGGUCUCUGGGCCGAUACUGACGCUGAGGAGCGAAAGCGUGGGGAGCGAACAGG
Molecule: ribosomal RNA, 253 nt
Filed under: uncultured bacterium
Lineage: Bacteria
Description: partial 16S ribosomal RNA
Rfam family: Bacterial small subunit ribosomal RNA
Source: RNAcentral